UACGAAGGGGGCUAGCGUUGCUCGGAAUUACUGGGCGUAAAGCGCACGUAGGCGGCUCUUUAAGUCGGGGGUGAAAUCCUGGAGCUCAACUCCAGAACUGCCUUCGAUACUGUAGAGCUUGAGUUCGGGAGAGGUGAGUGGAACUGCGAGUGUAGAGGUGAGAUUCGUAGAUAUUCGCAAGAACACCAGUGGCGAAGGCGGCUCACUGGCCCGAUACUGACGCUGAGGCACGAAAGCGUGGGGAGCAAACAGG
This 253-nucleotide ribosomal RNA is filed under the name uncultured bacterium. RNAcentral describes it as "partial 16S ribosomal RNA". It matches the Rfam family "Bacterial small subunit ribosomal RNA", at positions 524 to 776 of the family's 1533-position model. The record is from RNAcentral.